GCAUGCCUAACACAUGCAAGCCUUAACGAAGGCUUCGGCCUUAGUGGCGCACGGGUGCGUAACGCGUGGGAAUCUGCCCUUAGGUACGGAAUAACUCGGGGAAACUCGUGCUAAUACCGUAUGAUGACGUAAGUCCAAAGAUUUAUCGCCUAGGGAUGAGCCCGCGUAGGAUUAGCUAGUUGGUGAGGUAAAGGCUCACCAAGGCGACGAUCCUUAGCUGGUCUGAGAGGAUGAUCAGCCACACUGGGACUGAGACACGGCCCAGACUCCUACGGGAGGCAGCAGCGGGGAAUAUUGGACAAUGGGCGAAAGCCUGAUCCAGCAAUGCCGCGUGAGUGAUGAAGGCCUUAGGGUUGUAAAGCUCUUUUACCCGGGAAGAUAAUGACUGUACCGGGAGAAUAAGCCCCGGCUAACUCCGUGCCAGCAGCCGCGGUAAUACGGAGGGGGCUAGCGUUGUUCGGAAUUACUGGGCGUAAAGCGCACGUAGGCUGUUUUGUAAGUCAGAGGUGAAAGCCCAGGGCUCAACCCUGGAUGUGCCUUUGAGACUGCAGAACUAGAACGUCGGAGAGGUGAGUGGAAUUCCGAGUGUAGAGGUGAAAUUAGUAGAUAUUCGGAAGAACACCAGUGGCGAAGGCGGCUCACUGGACGACUGUUGACGCUGAGGUGCGAAAGCGUGGGGGAGCAAACAGGAUUAGAUACCCCCUGGUAGUCCACGCCCGUAAACGAUGAUAACUAGCCUGUCCGGGGCCACCUUGGUGGCCUUGGGUGGCGCAGCCUAACACCAUUAGGUUAUCCCGCCU
Molecule: ribosomal RNA, 800 nt
Filed under: uncultured bacterium
Lineage: Bacteria
Description: bacterial SSU rRNA
Rfam family: Bacterial small subunit ribosomal RNA
Source: RNAcentral